GUUGGGUUAAGUCCCGCAACGAGCGCAACCCUUGUCCUUUGUUGCCAGCACGUAAAGGUGGGAACUCAAAGAAGACUGCCGGUGACAAACCGGAGGAAGGCAGGGAUGACGUCAAGUCAUCAUGGCCCUUACGUCCAGGGCUACACACGUGCUACAAUGGGUUGUACAGAGGGAAGCGAAGCCGCGAGGUAGAGCGGAACCCAGAAAGCAACUCGUAGUCCGGAUUGGAGUCUGCAACUCGACUCCAUGAAGUCGGAAUCGCUAGUAAUCGCGAAUCAGAAUGUCGCGGUGAAUACGUUCCCGGGCCUUGUACACACCGCCCGUCACACCAUGGGAGUGAAUUGCACCAGAAGUAGUUAGCUUAACCCGCAAGGGAGGGCGAUUACCACGGUGUGGUUUAUGACUGGGGUGAAGUCGUAACAAGGUAACCGUA
RNAcentral lists this ribosomal RNA (433 nucleotides) under uncultured bacterium. Its description in RNAcentral is "bacterial SSU rRNA". It matches the Rfam family "Bacterial small subunit ribosomal RNA", at positions 1074 to 1504 of the family's 1533-position model. The record is from RNAcentral.